AAUAGAUACCCGGGUAGUCCUAGCUGUAAACGAUGAGCACUUGGUUGGGGGAUCCUCCCAUAGGUUCUCGACCGUAGCGAAAGUGUUAAGUGCUCCGCCUGGGGAGUAUGGUCGCAAGGACUGAAACUCAAAGGAAGUUGACGGGGGCUCACACAAGCGGUGGAGGAUGUGGCUUAAUUCGAGGCUACGCGAAGAACCUUAUCCAGGCCUUGACAUGUACGGAUGCUGCCCGUGAAAGCGGGUUAGUUGCCUUCGGGUGAAACGUGCACAGGUGCUGCAUGGCUGUCGUCAGCUCGUGUCGUGAGAUGUCGGGUUAAGUCCCUUAACGAGCGAAACCCUUGUUGCUAGUUGCCAGCGAGUCAUGUCGGGGACUCUAGCAAGACUGCCGGUGUUAAACCGGAGGAAGGCGGGGAUGACGUCAAGUCCUCAUGGCCUUUAUGGCCUGGGCUGCACACGUCCUACAAUGGUGCGUACAAAGGGAAGCAAACUCGUGAGAGCAAGCAAAUCCCCAAAAAGCGCACCUCAGUUCGGAUU
This 534-nucleotide ribosomal RNA is filed under the name uncultured bacterium. RNAcentral's name for it is "bacterial SSU rRNA". It matches the Rfam family "Bacterial small subunit ribosomal RNA", at positions 777 to 1299 of the family's 1533-position model. The record is from RNAcentral.